UAGGGAAUGUAAGAAAAGGUAACAUCCUCUC
RNAcentral lists this non-coding RNA (31 nucleotides) under Mus musculus (house mouse). The record is from RNAcentral. Lineage: Eukaryota; Metazoa; Chordata; Mammalia; Rodentia; Muridae.